GGCAGGCCGCGAAAGAGCGACGUGUAGAAGGUGGCGAGACCGUAGAUCACACCGUUCUUCGACAGUUUCGCAAUUGCGCCCACAAGCGCGAUGACGGUCGCGACAGCGAUCGAGAUCACCGAAAUGUAGAGCGUGGUGACGACGCCCUGCGAGAUCAGGAAGCUGAGCUUCUUGGCGAUAAAGGCAAAGGAAAGAUUGAAGGAAUAGAAGAAGAGCAUCAGGAGCGCGA
RNAcentral lists this small RNA (229 nucleotides) under Sinorhizobium meliloti 2011. Its description in RNAcentral is "putative ncRNA". The record is from RNAcentral. Lineage: Bacteria; Pseudomonadati; Pseudomonadota; Alphaproteobacteria; Hyphomicrobiales; Rhizobiaceae.